UUUGUGAAACAAACAAAGAAAUUUCAAUAUAUAUUGUUAAAUUGUAUUUACCAUUUGGUACAUACUCCCCGUGCGUUCGAAAAUAUCCAAUAUUGGCAAUAGCCAAUAAUCGAUAUGAAUGCAGAAUUCGGCUAUAAAACUGAUAGUAAAACUUCUACUCAAACAUCUGAUAAUGCUUAAUUCAUUUCUGUAUGUAAUAUUGUAAUAAUUGGGUGAUUGAUUUUAAAUUAAGGUAAUUGAUCAAGGCUCAUGCGUUAUAUUUUCCAAGUCGACGUCCUGCAUAUUAUACCUAUAUUCUAGAUUAUACUGACUGUAUUAUUAAAUAGCAGCUAUUUGUCAUUAUGUCCCGUUAGUAUAUGUGGAUAAAAUUGUAUCUAGUUCUGUAAAUGUGAAAACUCUUCAGACUUCACGUUGGAAUACUACAAGGGGAUAGCAAUUAGGUAGUCUAUACAGACUAUGAUAAUACAGAACAUGUAUGUAAUAUUUUCUGAUCGAAAAGAAAUGCACAAUUGCCGGUAUGACUAUAAAUUAGCGGCCUGCAGACCACAGAUUUCCUAUUUUUGUGUCGAUCUUCAUUAUUGUUGUCUGAAAUAUGCCAAAAUAUCCACAUAUUUUCCCGUCAUUAGAUCAAGCUAUUUUCUGAAAUUUGAUGCUCAGAUUGCUGCAAAUGGCAUUUCUGGGGUGUAUAUUUCAAAAAUUUUCCGGGGGGGCAUGCUCCCGGACCCCCCUAGGAUGUCUCACGCCUUCGGCGCUCGUUUGCAUGACCACUCACACGAAGCUAGCUUCGCCACUGAUUUUAGCAAAGAAUGACUGUAAUUUUAAAAAUUAAAUAUGCAUAUCAAAAACAAUAGUUUUUAUUAGAACAACACAUAAUCAGGGCCUUUUUUAAGGAUUUUCCCGUGGGGGGGCAUUUUUUGAAAAGGGACUUUUCUGUGAUAUAAUAUAUUAGAAGGGGAUAGCAAUGGCUGAAGCCUGAAGGCUACGUGUGUCGCCAAUAUAUCACUCAUGAAUGGGGGGUGGUCUGGGGGAGUAUUCCCCCAGAAAAUUUUUUGAAAUUUGAAUCCCGGAAAUGUCAUUUCCUGCAUUCUGAGCAUCCAAAUUUGCUCCAAAAUUUAUGCUAACUAUACUUGUAUCUGAAAUAAAUAAAGGGAAAAACGCACAAAAAUUUAAAAAAAUUAACCAUCAUUUAUCAUUACUUAUUAGAGGGAUAAUCCCCAGAAAAUUUUUGAAAUUUGAAUCCCGGAAAUGUCAUUUCCUGCAUUCUGAGCAUCCAAAUUUGCUCCAAAAUUUAUGCUAACUAUACUUGUAUUUGAAAUAAAUAAAGGAAAAAACGCACAAAAAGUUAAAAAAAAUUAACCAUCAUUUAUCAUUACUUAUUAGAGGGAUAAUCCCAAGAAAAUUUUUGAAAUUUGAAACCCGGAAAUGCUAUUUCCUGCAUUCUGAGCAUCCAAAAAAUAAAAAAAUUAUUAACAAUAAUCUAUCAUUACUUAGUGGUAUAAAAAAGUAACAAUUUAAAUCGAUUUUGUUAAACAAGGACAAAGGAUAACGCCUAAAACUUACUUUCCGUUUAUGUAUUUGUUAAUCUUCGCUGGUUUGUUUCUAUAAUUUUAGGGAAAAGGGACUUUUCCUGGGGGGGCAAAAUGUGAUUUCGUGGGGGGGCACAAGGGGGGACUGGGGGGGCAUUUGCCCCCCCAGCUUGUAUGUUAAAAAAGGCCCUGCACAUAAUAAGUUGUUAUUUUCUAUUUUUACAAAAACAAGUUUGGAAACAGAAUCUAGUCGUCCAGUUUGAUGUCAUAUUCUAUUUAUUUGGAUAUUUGAAUAAAGGAAUGUGAAAUAAUAAUUGAAACUUGUCCAAAAUUUGAUACCAACACUCAAGUGAACAGAUACUAU
RNAcentral lists this long non-coding RNA (1890 nucleotides) under Paramuricea clavata. The record is from RNAcentral. Lineage: Eukaryota; Metazoa; Cnidaria; Anthozoa; Malacalcyonacea; Plexauridae.